UGCAAGUCGAACGCGUUGGCCCAAUUGAUUGAUGGUGCUUGCACCUGAUUGAUUUUGGUCGCCAACGAGUGGCGGACGGGUGAGUAACACGUAGGUAACCUGCCCAGAAGCGGGGGACAACAUUUGGAAACAGAUGCUAAUACCGCAUAACAACGUUGUUCGCAUGAACAACGCUUAAAAGAUGGCUUCUCGCUAUCACUUCUGGAUGGACCUGCGGUGCAUUAGCUUGUUGGUGGGGUAAUGGCCUACCAAGGCGAUGAUGCAUAGCCGAGUUGAGAGACUGAUCGGCCACAAUGGGACUGAGACACGGCCCAUACUCCUACGGGAGGCAGCAGUAGGGAAUCUUCCACAAUGGGCGCAAGCCUGAUGGAGCAACACCGCGUGAGUGAAGAAGGGUUUCGGCUCGUAAAGCUCUGUUGUUAAAGAAGAACACGUAUGAGAGUAACUGUUCAUACGUUGACGGUAUUUAACCAGAAAGUCACGGCUAACUACGUGCCAGCAGCCGCGGUAAUACGUAGGUGGCAAGCGUUAUCCGGAUUUAUUGGGCGUAAAGAGAGUGCAGGCGGUUUUCUAAGUCUGAUGUGAAAGCCUUCGGCUUAACCGGAGAAGUGCAUCGGAAACUGGAUAACUUGAGUGCAGAAGAGGGUAGUGGAACUCCAUGUGUAGCGGUGGAAUGCGUAGAUAUAUGGAAGAACACCAGUGGCGAAGGCGGCUACCUGGUCUGCAACUGACGCUGAGACUCGAAAGCAUGGGUAGCGAACAGGAUUAGAUACCCUGGUAGUCCAUGCCGUAAACGAUGAGUGCUAGGUGUUGGAGGGUUUCCGCCCUUCA
This 831-nucleotide ribosomal RNA is filed under the name Limosilactobacillus fermentum. RNAcentral's name for it is "bacterial SSU rRNA". It matches the Rfam family "Bacterial small subunit ribosomal RNA", at positions 56 to 842 of the family's 1533-position model. Lineage: Bacteria; Bacillati; Bacillota; Bacilli; Lactobacillales; Lactobacillaceae. The record is from RNAcentral.